UUUUUUUUAAUGAAAUCUACUCUUGAAGGUAUUUUAAUUAAUUUACACAUCAUCAAAAAUAAUUAUUAUUUUGUUGGACGAUUACAUUUUUCAUACUUGAAUAGCUUAAAUCGCUUUUAUACUUAAUUUAUAUUGCAUUUGAAUAUUCAUGUAUAUUUUUAGAUUCGGAGAGUAAUAAGAAAUCUAUUAGUUUUACUAUAAUGGAUAUUUUUUUUUUUUUCUGUCUGUGAACAACUUUUCUAUAAGAAAUCUUACUCCGAUAUAUAGAGUAUACCACUUUUC
Molecule: non-coding RNA, 282 nt
Organism: Cinara cedri
Lineage: Eukaryota; Metazoa; Arthropoda; Insecta; Hemiptera; Aphididae
Source: the annotation of a GenBank genome assembly